Molecule: ribosomal RNA, 497 nt
Filed under: uncultured bacterium
Lineage: Bacteria
Description: partial 16S ribosomal RNA
Rfam family: Bacterial small subunit ribosomal RNA
Source: RNAcentral
AGUGAACGCUGGCGGUAGGCCUAAUACAUGCAAGUCGAACGGCAACACAGUAAGAUCGUUCUCUUACGGUUGGCGACGGGCGGGUGGGUAAGGAAUGCAUCGCCAUCUACUUUUUCGGGGAGAAUUUCGUAGAGCAGGUGCCACUAAUACCUCAUACAUUCAACGGCUGGAAUCAGUAGAUAUACGGGCUUUGCCUGUCACUAUUAGCUGAUUCCGCGUCGGAUUAGCUAGUUGGUAAGGUAACGGCCUACCAAGGCAACGAUGCGUAGCUGACCUGAGAGGAUGAUCAGCCACACUGGAACUGAGACACGGUCCAGACUCCUACGGGAGGCAGCAGUGGGGAAUAUUGGACAAUGGGCGCAAGCCUGAUGGAGCCACACCGCGUGAGUGAAGAAGGCCUUCGGGUCGUAAAGCCCUGUUAUUAGGGAAGAAAAAAAGUAGAAGAAUCCACGGACGUUCUGACGGUACCUAAACAGAAAGCCACGGCUAACUACGUG